AAAGAAACAAAAUGGAAAAUAUACCUUGAUUUCUUAAUUGUUUUAGUGGAUAUAAAUGGAUGAGACAACCUGAAAAAUAGAAAAAACUAGUUAAACACAAUACAAAAAUUUAUCAAAAAUUUUCAUAUAAAACGAAAAAUUAAAAAAAAAAAACUUACUUGUAGAGAGGAUUGUUUGAUUUGUGAAAGAAUGAAAUGAGAUAGUUGUAGAAUUUAUAGACAAAACAAGGAAAUAAAAAAAAUAAAAAAAGAAAGUAACAAUCACAUGCAUUGGCCCACUGCACUCCCCCAACGUAUUUUUCUUAUUUUGUGCAGGACAGCCUUUUUAUCACAUAUCUUCUUCUGCAUGCACUGCAUGCAGUGGUAUGUAUUUUUUAUUAUUAUAAUUUGUUCUGCAAUUUUUUUUUUGAUUGGGCUUCAGUUGCAGAGCAAUCUGCAUGCGAUUUUCUCCUGCAUUUAUCCUGUGUUUCUCCUGCC
Molecule: long non-coding RNA, 476 nt
Filed under: Brassica rapa (field mustard)
Lineage: Eukaryota; Viridiplantae; Streptophyta; Magnoliopsida; Brassicales; Brassicaceae
Description: long non-coding RNA (BRAP_LNC002674)
Source: RNAcentral